This 596-nucleotide small RNA is filed under the name Arabidopsis thaliana (thale cress). RNAcentral's name for it is "ATSL170750". The record is from RNAcentral. Lineage: Eukaryota; Viridiplantae; Streptophyta; Magnoliopsida; Brassicales; Brassicaceae.
AUUAUAGAUUUAUGAUUUAAAUUUUUAUAAGAAACUAUAAACAACUAAAAUGAAAGACAUGUACAUUGUCUCACUUACAUAUUGAAUAAAACUUUUUUGAAAUAUAUUAGAAGUAAUAAAAUAUUAAUUUGUGUGUUGUUGUUAUUAUUAAUAAUUAUUUAUCUUAUAUAAAAUAAAUAUUAAACAAAAAAAGAUAGUGGACUGCAUACGAACCACACCCUAUUACAUGUGUUCUUCAAUUUUACUUUUAUAUGAUUAAGAAUAUUGUUGCGGUCCAAAACUUUGCUUAUUUUUGAUGUUUUAAUUAAAAUUAUUAACUUAUAAAAGUGAGUGUGGAUGGUGACAAAAUGACUUACCACACUUGGAACCACAGUGUUCCGCGCUGCACAUUCACUCCCUUACUCCGAAUGGUUUAAGCGGACUAGGUGGUGCGGAACAAGCGGAUUAAGUAGUGCGAUGCGGUUUAACUGCGGUUUAAACGAGAGAAACGCAUUAUGCGGAACACAUGCGAUUGUUGCAUAAGAGCGGUUUACAAUAAUAUGUGAAUGAUGAAUAUUACAAUUAUGGUACAGAUGUAAUAAUUAUUAAAUUUGAUU